AUUGAACGCUGGCGGCAUGCCUUACACAUGCAAGUCGAACGGCAGCGCGGGGUAACCUGGUGGCGAGUGGCGAACGGCUGAGUAAUAUAUCGGAACGUACCCUGGAGUGGGGGAUAACGUAGCGAAAGUUACGCUAAUACCGCAUACGAUCUAAGGAUGAAAGUGGGGGAUACGCAAGAACCUCAUGCUCGUGGAGCGGCCGAUAUCUGAUUAGCUAGUUGGUAGGGUAAAAGCCUACCAAGGCAUCGAUCAGUAGCUGGUCUGAGAGGACGACCAGCCACACUGGAACUGAGACACGGUCCAGACU
Molecule: ribosomal RNA, 307 nt
Filed under: uncultured bacterium T2721a
Lineage: Bacteria
Description: bacterial SSU rRNA
Rfam family: Bacterial small subunit ribosomal RNA
Source: RNAcentral